This is a regulatory RNA element of 216 nucleotides. It matches the Rfam family "T-box leader". Rfam says of the family: Uncharged tRNA acts as the effector for transcription antitermination of genes in the T-box leader family. T-boxes are found upstream of many aminoacyl-tRNA synthetase genes and some amino acid biosynthetic genes usually in Gram-positive bacteria. The record is from Rfam.
AUUGAAACAAUGACGGGGAUUAGUAAAGUGAAAUGGUCUUAUCAAGAGAGGAAACCAAUGGUGCGAGGUUUCUUAAGACAGUCAUUUGAACCUGCCUCUGAGUUCUGUAUCGGAUGCACUUGAAGAUACAUGCGGAUAAACUCCGUUACCAUGGAAAGAGUAUAAAGCACUUGCUUUAUGAAGUUAGGGUGGUACCGCCAGGCCUUGGUCCCUUUU